RNAcentral lists this transfer RNA (73 nucleotides) under archaeon. RNAcentral describes it as "tRNA-Gln". It matches the Rfam family "tRNA". Rfam says of the family: Transfer RNA (tRNA) molecules are approximately 80 nucleotides in length. The record is from RNAcentral.
AGUCCCGUAGUCUAGCGGUCAAUGAUUCUGCCCUUUGGAGGCAGAGACCCAGGUUCGAAUCCUGGCGGGACUA